Molecule: small RNA, 502 nt
Filed under: Pan troglodytes (chimpanzee)
Lineage: Eukaryota; Metazoa; Chordata; Mammalia; Primates; Hominidae
Description: processed transcript
Source: RNAcentral
AUUCUUAGUCACAUAUAUGCCAAGCUUGGACGGAAUAAGAAUAUGAAUUUGAGUGGGCGACCGUAUCGACAUAUUGGUGUCCUUGGAACCUCUAAACUAUAUGUGAUUAGGAACCAAAUCUUUACUUUUACACCCCAGUUCACCGACCAGCAUCACUUCUACCUGGCCCUCGACAAUGAGAUGAUCGUGGAGAUGCUAAGGAUCGAGCUGGCCUACCUGUGCACCUGCUGGAGGAUGACGGGCAGACCCACACUCACCUUCCCCAUCAGUCGCACCAUGCUCAGUAACUCCAGGGAUUUCAGCAGGCUCCCUCCUGCCCCAGGGGUGGUUUGGGCUCUUACAAAUGUUUAAAAUGGCUCCCAUGGCCAGAACUAAGCACUGAAGGGGCUUCUUAGCAGUUUGAUUUCUUAUCUCGGGAAUCUUCUAUGCCAGAAAUAUUUUAAUUAGAUGGUGUUGAUGAAAAUGUUUCAGUGCAUAACAGGGAAAAAAAGUCUGCCCAGAC